UACGGGAGGCAGCAGUGGGGAAUAUUGGACAAUGGGCGAAAGCCUGAUCCAGCCAUGCCGCAUGAGUGAAGAAGGCCUUCGGGUUGUAAAGCUCUUUUAGUGAGAAAGAUAAUGACGGUACUCACAGAAGAAGUCCUGGCUAACUCCGUGCCAGCAGCCGCGGUAAUACGGAGAGGGCUAGCGUUAUUCGGAAUUAUUGGGCGUAAAGAGCGCGUAGGCUGAUUAGUAAGUUAAAAGUGAAAUCCCAAAGCUUAACUUUGGAAUUGCUUUUUAAAACUGCUAGUCUAGAGAUUUGAAAGAGGAUAGAGGAAUUCCUAGUGUAGAGGUGAAAUUCGUAAAUAUUAGGAGGAACACCAGUGGCGAAGGCGUCUAUCUGGUUCAAAUCUGACGCUGAGGCGCGAAGGGCGUGGGGAGCGAAACAGGGAUUAGAUACC
This 434-nucleotide ribosomal RNA is filed under the name uncultured bacterium. RNAcentral's name for it is "bacterial SSU rRNA". It matches the Rfam family "Bacterial small subunit ribosomal RNA", at positions 340 to 786 of the family's 1533-position model. The record is from RNAcentral.